RNAcentral lists this transfer RNA (76 nucleotides) under Polymorphobacter sp. RNAcentral's name for it is "tRNA-Thr". It matches the Rfam family "tRNA". Rfam says of the family: Transfer RNA (tRNA) molecules are approximately 80 nucleotides in length. Their secondary structure includes four short double-helical elements and three loops (D, anti-codon, and T loops). Lineage: Bacteria; Pseudomonadati; Pseudomonadota; Alphaproteobacteria; Sphingomonadales; Sphingosinicellaceae. RNAcentral also lists the same sequence under 1 other name. The record is from RNAcentral.
GCCGGCUUAGCUCAGAUGGUAGAGCACCUGAUUUGUAAUCAGGGGGUCACGGGUUCGAUUCCUGUAGCCGGCACCA